RNAcentral lists this ribosomal RNA (612 nucleotides) under uncultured fungus. RNAcentral's name for it is "eukaryotic LSU rRNA". It matches the Rfam family "Eukaryotic large subunit ribosomal RNA", at positions 24 to 664 of the family's 3401-position model. Lineage: Eukaryota; Fungi. The record is from RNAcentral.
CCCGCUGAACUUAAGCAUAUCAAUAAGCGGAGGAAAAGAAACUAACAAGGAUUCCCCUAGUAACGGCGAGCGAACCGGGAACAGCCCAACUUGAAAAUCUCCCUUUGGAGAAUUGUAGUCUAUAGAAGCAUCCUCUGUAGCGUGCCAGGCCCAAGUCCUCUGGAAAGGGGCGUCAGAGAGGGUGAGAACCCCGUCGGCCUGUGCUUCGCUGCCUCACGAGGUGCUUUCGCAGAGUCGGGUUGCUUGGGAAUGCAGCCCAAAUUUGGUGGUAAAUCCCAUCUAAGGCUAAAUACUGGCGAGAGACCGAUAGCGAACAAGUACCGUGAGGGAAAGAUGAAAAGAACUUUGAAAAGAGAGUUAAAAAGUGCUUGAAAUUGUUGAGAGGGAAGCGAUUGGAGGCUAUGGGUGCGCCUAGGCUUAUGCGUCCUUAACGGGCCGCUGUAUGUGCUAGGUGCUGGUCAGCAAGGGUUAGGCUGGUAGGAAAAAAGCUGGGGUUGAUACCCGGCCUAUACUACCGGCUUGACCAAGGCGUGAAGACUGCCCUUGUCCUUCGGGAACUGCAGUCUCAAGUUGCUGGCGGAAGGUUUCCAAUCGGCCCGUCUUGAAACACGG